UACGACUACAUAUCAGGCAUAUCAAUAAGCGGAGGAAAAGAAACUAACAAGGAUUCCCUUAGUAACGGCGAGUGAAGCGGGAAGAGCUCAAAUUUGAAAUCUUCAAGGGUUCUACCUUUACGAAUUGUAGUUUAAAGAAGUGUUUUCUGUUAGAGGAGUUCGGUAAAAGUUCUUUGGAAUAGGACAUCAUAGAGGGUGAGAAUCCCGUAUUUGACCAGUUACUUUCUAGCUGUGUGAUACACUUUCAAAGAGUCGGAUUGUUUGGGAAUGCAGUCCAAGAUGGGUGGUAAAUUUCAUCUAAAGCUAAAUAUUGGCGAGAGACCGAUAGCGAACAAGUACCGUGAGGGAAAGAUGAAAAGAACUUUGAAAAGAGAGUUAAACAGUACGUGAAAUUGUCAAAAGGGAAGCGUUUGACACCAUGUGUUGUUUUUCCGAAAAUCAAUUAAGAAGGGCUUGAUUUUGUGUUGUAUUGACCUUAUCAGCUUUCUUCACUCUUUCUCGAGUCUUUCUUAAUGCACUUUUCGGUUAACAAGUCAACAUCAAUUUCUUUUGUUGUAAAAGGGUAUUUGGAAGGUGGCUUUCUUUUCGGAGAAAGUGUUUAUAGCCUUAUACCUCUACAAUCGGAGAGAUUGAGGUCUGCAGCGUAGAUCCUUCGGGGCUAGAUACACUUGUGCUAAGUUAUAGCUUUUCAUAGACAACUUGUUGACUAUGUUUAGUCAUGUAGCUUACCCGCUUGUGCUAUUUUACCUACGCUUAGGAUGUUGAUCUACAGAGCGAGAGU
RNAcentral lists this ribosomal RNA (781 nucleotides) under uncultured Neocallimastigales. RNAcentral describes it as "partial large subunit ribosomal RNA". It matches the Rfam family "Eukaryotic large subunit ribosomal RNA", at positions 24 to 640 of the family's 3401-position model. The record is from RNAcentral. Lineage: Eukaryota; Fungi; Neocallimastigomycota; Neocallimastigomycetes; Neocallimastigales.